UACAGAGGUCUCAAGCGUUGUUCGGAUUCAUUGGGCGUAAAGGGUGCGUAGGCGGCGCGGUAAGUCGGGUGUGAAAUCUCGGAGCUUAACUCCGAAACUGCAUUCGAUACUGCCGUGCUUGAGGACUGGAGAGGAGACUGGAAUUUACGGUGUAGCGGUGAAAUGCGUAGAUAUCGUAAGGAACACCAGUGGCGAAGGCGGUUGCCUGGGGCUUUGCUGACGCUGAUGCGCGAAAGCGUGGGGAGCGAUCCGG
Molecule: ribosomal RNA, 253 nt
Filed under: uncultured bacterium
Lineage: Bacteria
Description: partial 16S ribosomal RNA
Rfam family: Bacterial small subunit ribosomal RNA
Source: RNAcentral